This 301-nucleotide ribosomal RNA is filed under the name uncultured bacterium. RNAcentral's name for it is "partial 16S ribosomal RNA". It matches the Rfam family "Bacterial small subunit ribosomal RNA", at positions 509 to 807 of the family's 1533-position model. The record is from RNAcentral.
CAGUCGCCACGGUAACACGGAGGGUGCAAGCGUUAAUCGGAAUUACUGGGCGUAAAGCGCACGCAGGCGGUCUGACAAGUCAGAUGUGAAAUCCCCGGGCUUAACCUGGGAACUGCAUUUGAAACUGUCAGGCUGGAGUCUUGUAGAGGGGGGUAGAAUUCCAGGUGUAGCAGUGAAAUGCGUAGAGAUCUGGAGGAAUACCGGUGGCGAAGGCGGCCCCCUGGACAAAGACUGACGCUCAGGUGCGAAAGCGUGGGGAGCAAACAGGAUUAGAUACCCGCGUAGUCCCUGUCUCUUAUAC